This 298-nucleotide signal recognition particle RNA is filed under the name Phascolarctos cinereus (koala). RNAcentral describes it as "Metazoan signal recognition particle RNA (ENSPCIG00000027002.2)". It matches the Rfam family "Metazoan signal recognition particle RNA". Rfam says of the family: The signal recognition particle (SRP) is a universally conserved ribonucleoprotein. It is involved in the co-translational targeting of proteins to membranes. The eukaryotic SRP consists of a 300-nucleotide 7S RNA and six proteins: SRPs 72, 68, 54, 19, 14, and 9. The record is from Rfam by way of RNAcentral. Lineage: Eukaryota; Metazoa; Chordata; Mammalia; Diprotodontia; Phascolarctidae.
ACAGGGCAUGACGGUGAAUGCCUGUAAGCCCAGCUCCUGGGAAGUCUGAGACUAGCAGAUCUCUUAGGCGCUGAAGUUCUGAGCUACAGUGGACUAUGCAAAUUGGGUGUCUGUAUUAAGUUUGGCAAUAAUAAGGUGAGAGCCUAGGAAUGGGGUGCUACCAGGUCGCCUAAGGAGAGGGGAACUGAUCCUGGUCAGAAAUGGAGCAGGUCAAAGCUCCUGUGACAUCAGUGGUGGGAUUGGGCCGGGGAGCUGCUACUGUGUACUACCCUGGGUGAGAUGGGGAGAUGCAGUCUUU